UACGGAGGGUGCAAACGUUGCUCGGAAUCAUUGGGCGUAAAGCGCACGUAGGCGGCGCGUUAAGUCGGGUGUGAAAUCCCCGGGCUCAACCCGGGAACUGCGUCCGAUACUGGAAGGCUUGAAUCCGGGAGAGGGAUGCGGAAUUCCAGGUGUAGCGGUGAAAUGCGUAGAUAUCUGGAGGAACACCGGUGGCGAAGGCGGCAUCCUGGACCGGCAUUGACGCUGAGGCGCGAAAGCCAGGGGAGCAAACGGG
Molecule: ribosomal RNA, 253 nt
Filed under: uncultured bacterium
Lineage: Bacteria
Description: partial 16S ribosomal RNA
Rfam family: Bacterial small subunit ribosomal RNA
Source: RNAcentral